GAUCAUGGCUCAGAUUGAACGCUGGCGGCAGGCUUAACACAUGCAAGUCGAACGGUAACAUAAAGAAGCUUGCUUCUUUGAUGACGAGUGGCGGACGGGUGAGUAAUGCUUGGGAAUCUAGCUUAUGGAGGGGGAUAACUACGGGAAACUGUAGCUAAUACCGCGUAGUAUCGAGAGAUGAAAGUGUGGGACCUCGGCCGACCGACUGCCACUAGGAGUAGAGCCACGUAGGAGUAGGUAGUUGG
RNAcentral lists this ribosomal RNA (245 nucleotides) under uncultured bacterium. RNAcentral describes it as "partial 16S ribosomal RNA". It matches the Rfam family "Bacterial small subunit ribosomal RNA", at positions 15 to 252 of the family's 1533-position model. The record is from RNAcentral.